UACAUGGGGUGCAAACGUUGCUCGGAAUUAUUGGGCGUAAAGCGCACGUAGGCGGUUCGUUAAGUCGGAUGUGAAAGCCCUCGGCUCAACUGAGGAAGUGCACCCGAAACUGGCGAGCUUGAGUACGAAAGAGGAUCGCGGAAUUCCCGGUGUAGAGGUGAAAUUCGUGAGAUAUCGGGAGGAACACCGGUGGCGAAGGCGGCGAUCUGGGUCGAUACUGACGCUGAGGUGCGAAAGCGUGGGGAGCAAACAGG
Molecule: ribosomal RNA, 254 nt
Filed under: uncultured bacterium
Lineage: Bacteria
Description: partial 16S ribosomal RNA
Rfam family: Bacterial small subunit ribosomal RNA
Source: RNAcentral